Molecule: ribosomal RNA, 126 nt
Filed under: Petromyzon marinus (sea lamprey)
Lineage: Eukaryota; Metazoa; Chordata; Hyperoartia; Petromyzontiformes; Petromyzontidae
Source: RNAcentral
CACUGUGACCAAAUCGCCCUGAAUUUGCCCUCGAUCUCAUCGGAUCUCGGAAGAUAAUGAGGAUUGGAGCCUGGUUUUUAGUACUUGGAUGGGAGACUGCUUGGGAAUAAGCAGGUGUUGGAGUCU